UAUAAUUUUAUUUUUUAUUUAAAAAUUUUACUAAUUAGGUGUCAACAUUUUACAAAUAUUUAUAGCCAGCCUAACGCGCGUCAUUCUGGGUUAGCAAUUAGGUGUCAACGUUUUACAAAUAGCAAUGAUGUAGCAUCACAUAAGACAUCACUUCUAUAAUUGCAAUGCUAGCCAUUUCGGUUCUGGCUAAAUCCACGUGCAAAUUGAACUCCCAA
Molecule: long non-coding RNA, 215 nt
Filed under: Elaeis guineensis (African oil palm)
Lineage: Eukaryota; Viridiplantae; Streptophyta; Magnoliopsida; Arecales; Arecaceae
Description: long non-coding RNA (EGUI_LNC023125)
Source: RNAcentral